GAUGAACGCUGGCGGCGUGCCUAAUACAUGCAAGUCGAGCGAACGGACGAGAAGCUUGCUUCUCUGAUGUUAGCGGCGGACGGGUGAGUAACACGUGGAUAACCUACCUAUAAGACUGGGAUAACUUCGGGAAACCGUAGCUAAUACCGGAUAAUAUUUUGAACCGCAUGGUUCAAAAGUGAAAGACGGUCUUGCUGUCACUUAUAGAUGGAUCCGCGCUGCAUUAGCUAGUUGGUAAGGUAACGGCUUACCAAGGCUACGAUGCAUAGCCGACCUGAGAGGGUGAUCGGCCACACUGGAACUGAGACACGGUCCAGACUCCUACGGGAGGCAGCAGUAGGGAAUCUUCCGCAAUGGGCGAAAGCCUGACGGAGCAACGCCGCGUGAGUGAUGAAGGUCUUCGGAUCGUAAAACUCUGUUAUUAGGGAAGAACAUAUGUGUAAGUAACUGUGCACAUCUUGACGGUACCUAAUCAGAAAGCCACGGCUAACUACGUG
This 497-nucleotide ribosomal RNA is filed under the name uncultured bacterium. Its description in RNAcentral is "partial 16S ribosomal RNA". It matches the Rfam family "Bacterial small subunit ribosomal RNA", at positions 28 to 507 of the family's 1533-position model. The record is from RNAcentral.